This 406-nucleotide ribosomal RNA is filed under the name uncultured bacterium. Its description in RNAcentral is "bacterial SSU rRNA". It matches the Rfam family "Bacterial small subunit ribosomal RNA", at positions 355 to 776 of the family's 1533-position model. The record is from RNAcentral.
UAAGGAAUAUUCUGCAAUGGGCGCAAGCCUGACAGAGCAAUACCUCGUGGAGGACGAAGGCCUACGGGUUGUAAACUUCUUUUCUCAAGGAGGAAGAACUGACGUUACUUGAGGAAUAAGCAACGGCUAACCCUGUGCCAGCAGCCGCGGUAAUACAGGGGUUGCAAGUCUUGUUCGGAAUUAUUGGGCGUAAAGCGUCUGCAGGUGGAUAAUUAAGUCUUUUGUUAAAGCUUUGAGCUUAACUCGAAAACAGCAAAAGAAACUAGUUAUCUUGAGUAUAGGAGAGGGAAAGGGAAUUCCACGUGGAGAGGUGAAAUUCGUAGAUAUGUGGAGGAACACCAACAGCGAAGGCACUUUCCUGGACUAUUACUGACACUCAGAGACGAAAGCUAGGGUAGCAAACCGG